GGGGCUCCCUGGGCCACUGUAGUGGAGGCUGGCUCAACACCAGGUCUGCAGGACCAGUUCCUUCACCAGCGGUGCCAGUGAGACUGAGGCCAGUGCCGGGAGAAGCAGGAAGAGGUGCCUUGAAUGGGUGCUCACGAGGACCAGGUGGCACAUAGGUGGGGAAGAUGCUCUCGGGAAGCUGGGUUGGCUCCGCCUGCCCACCUCUGCCCUGGCCGCUGUAUCUGGCCGGAAGAAGCAGGAAGGGUGCAAACCCUGAAAUGCUGAGCACUCACCCCAAGGCAACCGAGCCAACCCCAGGAAGACCACAUGAAACUAAGGGGCGACAGACAUUCAAUUGGCAAUGAACUUGCCGAUGAGGAGUCGCUGUCCUCCCCCUAACCCCCACCAUCAAGGGAGGGGCAUUCAAGCAUGAGACGAGAUCCUUUGGGCAGUAGGGACCACCGUGACCGUGUGAUGGAUGACGAUGCUUACAAGGCCAUGGUCUACUUGGGGACCCUUCCAGCAUGUGACAGGAGACAUCCGUGGUGAUUAGUCAGGGGCUGCAUGGGAACAGCCUGCUGACUCCCGGGCGUGUCACGGCAGUGGCUUCCAAGCCAUCACUCCCUCCAGCACAGGAGGAGGCCCAGAUGAAAAGCCUCAAAGAUGCCUGGCAAAUGAUGUGCAGGAAAGAAUUAUGCAUCUUGUUCCAAUUAAGAUGUUGGAAGAGAAGAGCAUCUAAUUGUCCCACAAUUACCUUUAUUUAUCAAACUCAGAAUGAAGUGUGGUUGUGAAGCAUCUCAGGAGAGCUGUGUGGAGCUGGGGACGGUCCAGGCUCUGACGGGCAUCCUAGCCACGGCAGAAGAGAAGAUCCAAGGAUGGAGCAUUUUCCAGAUCCAAGAAUGGAGAGUUUUCUAGAGCCCUGGACAGCGUUUUCCCAGACCUAGGAAUGGAACUUUCCAGAGCUGGGGAUUGAGAAUUCUCUUGAGCCAGAAAUAACAUGCCUCAACUCAUUGUCGUAGGCUUUUGCAGAGGGAGGCAGGGAAAAAUGUGAAGAUGGAGGGGCCAGGUCUCGGUCAGAGUGGAGAAGAGCCUCUCCUCCAGAGGCAAAGGGUGCUGGCAUCCGGGCUGCUCGAUCUCUUGGGGUAUCCACAGUCACGCCGAGACCCCAUCAGACUCCACCCUUCGUGAUUACAACUCCCAGACAGCAGGAGGCAAAGCUCAUCAGCGUCUCAGAGACACAAACCUGCUUGAAAAUGGUUCCCACUCCCAGAUGAUCCAGAGCUAUGCCCCAAGGUCAAUGUGAAAGCUCAUUGAAUCAUUUUACUGCAGUGGAGAAAAAAGUCUAAAAGCAAGUUCCCUGCCUCAACCCUAUGGACAGAAAGGACCUCAGGGCCUCUUUUGUCAACUGGGGUGUUGAGCUUGCCUCCUUUCAUCAUUACGUUGGUAAUUUGUGCACUCGCCCUAAAUAAAUAGUAGUGAAUAGAUCUAGGUAUUGGAACGGAUAGGAAUUUGGCAUCAUCAGAACCAGCUUAGGAUCCAUUGGCAAGCUUCUGUUCAGUCCAGGCUUCAGUUUUCCCAUUUGACAAAUGGCAACACCGUGGUUCAUCCUGUGUGUGAAGCGCCCCAGCAUGGCGACCAGGGGGUGGCGGCCUUCUAAGAAAUGUAAGACGCAGGCAGUGAGGAGAAAUAAGCACCGGCCUGUCUGGGGGCCGACUCUCCUUAAUGGGGUGUCCUGGGAGACCUCACUUCCUGCCCCGACCCUCAAGUUCCCCCUCUGUGGGCAUCAAGACUUAAGAGAGAUGACAACAGCUACUACCCAUGGCAGCUCUGACGUGUAUUAACAGUCUGGGAGCUGCACUUUGGCCCUCGGAAAGGCGCCCCAAAGCCCGUCCUUUGGGCAGGAGGCGCUGAAUCAUUUCUCAGCGUCUGUAAUGACAUCCGUCAACAUCUUGUUGGAGGGUCAGGUGAGGUUCUCGUGGUGUAAAUAUGGUGACUCGGCCAAGGACCCAGGAACGGUGGACACCUCCUGGCCGAUCA
This 2016-nucleotide long non-coding RNA is filed under the name Equus caballus (horse). RNAcentral's name for it is "lncRNA (ENSECAG00000045379.1)". The record is from RNAcentral. Lineage: Eukaryota; Metazoa; Chordata; Mammalia; Perissodactyla; Equidae.